RNAcentral lists this transfer RNA (77 nucleotides) under Streptomyces phage Shaeky. Its description in RNAcentral is "tRNA-Ile". It matches the Rfam family "tRNA". From Rfam's summary of the family: Transfer RNA (tRNA) molecules are approximately 80 nucleotides in length. Their secondary structure includes four short double-helical elements and three loops (D, anti-codon, and T loops). Lineage: Duplodnaviria; Heunggongvirae; Uroviricota; Caudoviricetes; Colingsworthviridae. The record is from RNAcentral.
UUGCGCGUAGCUCAGGUGGUUAGAGCCUCGGUCUGAUACACCGAAGGUCGCCGGUUCAACUCCGGUCGCGCAAACCA